AGCAGCCGCGGUAAUUCCAGCUCCAAUAGCGUAUAUUAAAGUUGUUGCAGUUAAAAAGCUCGUAGUUGAAUUUCGGGAUCAAUACGUCGGUCGUGCUUCGGUACGUACUGGCGUCAUUGGUUUCUCCCUUCUGACGAACCAUGAUGUCAUUAAUUUGGUGUUAUGGGAAAUCAGGACUGUUACUUUGAAAAAAUUAGAGUGUUUAAAGCAGGCUCACGCUUGAAUACAUUAGCAUGGAAUAAUGAAAUAGGACGUUCGAUCCUAUUUUGUUGGUUUCUAGGAUCAACGUAAUGAUUAAUAGGGAUAGUUGGGGGCAUUAGUAUUCAAUUGUCAGAGGUGAAAUUCUUGGAUUUAUUGAAGACUAACUACUGCGAAAGCAUUUGCCAAGGAUGUUUUCAUUAAUCAAGAACGAAAGUUAGGGGAUCGAAGACGAUCAGAUACCGUCGUAGUCUUAACCAUAAACUAUGCCGACUAGGGAUCGGAUGAUGUUAAUUUUUUAAUGACUCAUUCGGCGCCUUACG
RNAcentral lists this ribosomal RNA (521 nucleotides) under uncultured Glomeraceae. Its description in RNAcentral is "SSU rRNA". It matches the Rfam family "Eukaryotic small subunit ribosomal RNA", at positions 569 to 1092 of the family's 1831-position model. Lineage: Eukaryota; Fungi; Glomeromycota; Glomeromycetes; Glomerales; Glomeraceae. The record is from RNAcentral.